GCCGGCAUGGUGGUGUGUGUCUGUGGUCCCAGCUACCCAGGAGGCUGAGGCGGGAGGAUGGCUUGAGCCCGGGAGUUCUGGGCUGCAGUGAGCUCUGCCCAUGGGGUGUCCCUACUAUCCUGAGAGCCGGGGACCCCCAUAGUUGCCUAAGGAGGGGUGGACGGCCCAGGUUGGAAACAGAGCACGUGAAAACUCCUGUGUUGAUCAGUAGUGAGAUCACACCUGUGAAUAAUUAUUGUACUCCAGCCUGGGCACCAUAGCAAGACCUCAUCUCU
This 275-nucleotide signal recognition particle RNA is filed under the name Microcebus murinus (gray mouse lemur). RNAcentral describes it as "Metazoan signal recognition particle RNA (ENSMICG00000026879.2)". It matches the Rfam family "Metazoan signal recognition particle RNA". Rfam says of the family: The signal recognition particle (SRP) is a universally conserved ribonucleoprotein. Lineage: Eukaryota; Metazoa; Chordata; Mammalia; Primates; Cheirogaleidae. The record is from RNAcentral.